CCAUCUAGAGUUUUCUCAAUAUGCUGAAUCACCCAUUGAGCCAUCACAUGCUGCUGAGUCAGUUGCCAUGUCAAUGCUUGCUACAGAGUGGGGUGAUAAUUGAAGUUCCAGCUGAGGCGACUCACAGAGGCAUUUCAUCGAGCAGCUAAUUCAAUUCAUUGAACACCCGACUUGUUCUAAUAUGGUAUGAUGUAUAUAGGUGAUACAUAUUCACUCGCGCGUUAAAAUUAUAUACAUAUUCCC
Molecule: long non-coding RNA, 243 nt
Filed under: Citrus maxima (pomelo)
Lineage: Eukaryota; Viridiplantae; Streptophyta; Magnoliopsida; Sapindales; Rutaceae
Description: long non-coding RNA (CMAX_LNC003983)
Source: RNAcentral